RNAcentral lists this long non-coding RNA (248 nucleotides) under Elaeis guineensis (African oil palm). Its description in RNAcentral is "long non-coding RNA (EGUI_LNC052342)". Lineage: Eukaryota; Viridiplantae; Streptophyta; Magnoliopsida; Arecales; Arecaceae. The record is from RNAcentral.
CAGCAGCAACAGCCACAGGUGUCAGUGCUGUUAGAAAGAGCAUCGUCGGAGCUCCAAGAUCUGGCAGUGGGGCGGGCCACUUGGGCCAGUCAUUUUGUCUUCCCCAGUAAGGGGAAUCUGAGGGUGGAGAGCCCCCGGUCUGAUCAUGAUUUCACUCUCAGAGGAUCCCUACCUCCACUCUACCAGAAGACCCUCAAGACUCGCAGUCAAGAGGACCUCCUAGAUCGAAGGCUCCAGGAGAUGAACCG